GACGAACGCUGGCGGCGUGCUUAACACAUGCAAGUCGAACGGACAGGCCCUGCUUUUGUGGGGUGCUCGAGUGGCGAACGGGUGAGUAACACGUGAGUAACCUGCCCUUGACUUUGGGAUAACUUCAGGAAACUGGGGCUAAUACCGGAUAGGAGCUCCUGCUGCAUGUGGGGGGUUGGAAAGUUUCGGCGGUUGGGGAUGUACUCGCGGCUUAUCAGCUUGUUGGUGGGGUAGUGGCUUACCAAGGCUUGGACGGGUAGCCGGCCUGAGAGGGUGACCGGCCACAUUGGGACUGAGAUACGGCCCAGACUCCUACGGGAGGCAGCAGUGGGGAAUAUUGCACAAUGGGCGGAAGCCUGAUGCAGCAACGCCGCGUGCGGGAUGACGGCCUUCGGGUUGUAAACCGCUUUCGCCUGUGACGAAGCGUGAGUGACGGUAAUGGGUAAAGAAGCACCGGCUAACUACGUG
Molecule: ribosomal RNA, 468 nt
Filed under: uncultured bacterium
Lineage: Bacteria
Description: partial 16S ribosomal RNA
Rfam family: Bacterial small subunit ribosomal RNA
Source: RNAcentral